GGUUCGUUCUAGGGCACCAUCGGAAACCCUAGGGAUUUGGGCGGUGUGCGGCGAUCGACUCUAGUAGCCGGAUUGCAACGAGCAAGAACAACGUGGAACAAAUUGAUACAGGUUGUUGACGAAUCAACGAGUUCGUAAAACAAGACGAGAUCCGAUCUUGGUAAUCGUAAUACAUUCCGCAGCGAAAGAGGUAUGUAAAAAUCUAUGUGAUUUUUGCGCAUUAAUUUGGGUAUUAAUUUUAUCCAACAGUGGUAUCAGAGCACAGCCAAUGCUUGUUUUCGCUUGAUGAUCCGUUUUUAAUAUGGAUAGAUCUUUGAUCUUUAAUUAUUCUUUUUUCAACAAUAUAUUUGCAUUGAUUCGUAUAAAGAAAAAAAAAACCGGCAAUUUUUUGAGUCGCAAUUGGCAAGACUCUGCUCAAUUUUAAAGGUGCAUGAUAGUCCUGCAGCGGGACUGGCCUGCGUGGCGGCGCACCUGCGCAUUGGAUUGGGCCACACACGGGAUUGGCCUGCUUGCGCAUUGGACGCAGGAGCCGUCUCUAUUACAUUAAAAAGAAAAAAAAGGAGAGGGUUGCUAUUGGCAGUGGGAUUUGAACCCACAACAACCUCAACAUAUAAGAUUCUAACUUCAGCUAACCACCUUUGCCAGUUUGCUUUUAUGCAAAUUUGUGCAAACUAAUGCUUAAUAUACUGUCUACGAUACAUGUUAUGAUGCUUCUCAAAUUAUAUUAUGCUUAUUAAUUAAUUUGAGAUGUGGAUUUAUUCUUGAUCAAUUUGAUAUAUUAUUUUAAUCUGCAUUGGAUGAGAUGAUUAUUAGUUUUUUCCAAAGGCGAAAUUUUCAAUUUGAAGAUGCGGUGAGAAAUUUUAUUAUCAGAUUAGAUUAAGAAUAAAAUUUGUGGAUAUUUGUGCCUAAUUUAAAAUUAUGUGCAUUAUUGUAGUGAUAUAUGGUUUCAAAAAAUAUUUCCAUCGCGGAUUUACUAAAGCAAGAUGGGCUUGAUGGAAUGAAUUAUGACAUGUGGCAUAAAAAAAUUCAAUAUCUCCUUAAUGAGAAAGGUAUUAAUAUUUUGCUAAUAGAUAUAUUUGUUAUCAUUCUUUAUUCAUACAUCUUUUUUGAAUUCUAAAUUAGUGCACAAUCUUAUUUUAUGAGAAUGAUUGUCACCAGGCCCUUGAUCAGCCCUCUCACAUGGGUGAUCGCCCUGUUGUUAGGAGAGUGAGCAGGAUGAGACAAAUAAGAUCACAUAAAUGCAGUUAGUAAUGCAGGUGAUCCAUUUCGUGCUAAAUGAGCAUGCAAGUGUUUCAAUCGUGUAUGUCGCCUUAGAUGAGCUAAGAUGAGACUAUAUGAAGUCGACAGUAGAGAUGGUCCACGACUCUACUUGGCCUGUAUGAAGCCGAAUGUAAAGAAGGCACUAUGUGGGUGACUGUCUUGAGGUUUGUUGUGUUGAGUUGCAACAGAAUCGACAUUCGUAUGGUGUUUUGAGCGUGACAUAUCCUUAGAGGUAACUUCACCAUAGCAUACGUUCAUACCGUAUGUGCAAGAUCUAUCACUAUUUUAGAGAGUGGCGAAAUUGAUCCCUGUUACGUCGCUGUGUGAGCUUUGUGUACCAUUUGGGACUUAGAACCAUAUUAUGAAGUGGAUACUUAGUGAUGCUACUUUAAUAUGAUAUCCAAGGGGUAUGAUUGAUUCGGUCUAGCGGAACAUGUCUAGGAAAGUGGUCAAGUUGAAAUGGAUUGGCAUGAGGAAUCUGAGGAAAAAUCAUCUGAUAAUACAGUUAUGAUUUGUGACUUACAGCCUGGGCGAUUAUGUUGAUAUUUGUUGUCAAUAUAACAUGAGUGCAAAUGCAUUGAUGUGAGAGAUGUUAUGAUUUGGUGUUGUUCAGUGAUUUGGGGUAUAGACGAGAUUUGGAGUUGUAUUGUUAUGUUAGUUGGAUGGUGGCUUAAUAUAACACUCAUCACUUUUAAUUCUUCUCGUUAUUGAUCGCACCAACCGUUUUUCGUAUGAAGAGCAGAACAAGAUGAGAAUAUAUUUGGGAUGAGAAUAUAUAAAUAAGUACUAAGUGUGUACGAGUGGGAGAUGUUGGAAUUCGUCCACAUUAGGACUUAUCUAAAUUAUUCCUAAUCCAUAUGGGAUAAGAAAUAAAUAUUGAUAAUUAUCUAAGAUAUUCCUAGUAUGCAUAGGAUGAGAAAUAAAUUUAAGAGAUAGAUCCUAAUCUAUUUAAAUCUCUAUGUGAGAUUCAGUUAGAAUAGGAUUAGGAUUAACGUCUCCUUUAUGGCCUAUAAAUACAUGAGGUAUUGGCCACACAUGAGACACAAGAAAAAUUAAUUUAAUCUCUCCACAAAAGGCUUUGUCGGGUUCGUUAUAGGGCACCAUCAGAAAGCAUAGGGAUUUGGGUGGUGUGUGGCGAUCGACUCUAGUAGCCGGAUUGCAACAAGCAAGAACAACGUGCAACAAAUUGAGACAAGUUGUUGGCGAAUCAACGAGUUCGUAAAACAAGACGAGAUCCGAUCCUGGUAAUCAUAAUACAUUCCGCAGCGAAGAGGUAUGUAAAAAUCUAUGUGAUUUUUGCGCAUUAAUUUGGGUAUU
RNAcentral lists this long non-coding RNA (2577 nucleotides) under Ananas comosus (pineapple). Its description in RNAcentral is "long non-coding RNA (ACOM_LNC031629)". The record is from RNAcentral. Lineage: Eukaryota; Viridiplantae; Streptophyta; Magnoliopsida; Poales; Bromeliaceae.